UGGAAACGGCGACGGAAGGCGAGACAGGGCCGGGCUAUGGGCGUGAGGUUCUCCGGGAUGUCUGGGAUGUGUUCGGUGUGUCCAGACUGUGUCUGUGGUAUCGGGGUGGCGUCCGGAGCUCCAUCCUGCUGGGACAGCUCGGACUUCCCAGAGUAGACCACUGCUCGGCUGGGAAGACCUGCUGUUCAACUCCCUGACCUUCUGGGCACACGACGGCUGAACAUGAGCCCAGUUGUGCCCAGGUUUGAUCAGCUGAACACUGCCUUUGAGAGGUUUACAGGACAUCCUUCAAUGUCCUGAGUGUGCUUGGGCAGAAGUCAUGCUUUCUGUGGCAGAAAGAUGAGCAAGGCCAGGGAUGGGCAGUGGUACAAGAUGAAUGAUGCCUCAAGACUUCUCUCUGCCAAAAUACAUAUUUACUUUUCUAUGCCAGGAGAGAAUGGCGAUUUGUCCAGGUGAGUUCUUUCUGUCCUGCAGUUAACAGGCCAUGUCUUCUCCCUUGCUGUCUGGCACUGAACUGGGCUUGUGUAAAUUACCAGUUUCCUGGUCUCUGAGAAGGGCCAGCUGUGAAAAGAGGCAAAAUGGACAUCUGAGAGUAUAAAGAUGAGUCACUGCCUGAAAGGGCCAGACAUGGCUGGAAAAGUGUGAUCUAUUUUCCAAAGCCUUGUGCUGUUUCAGUCUUCUGCAUGUCAUGUCAAAUGUGCCAGAAAACGACAGGGCUGAAGCCUCAAGGAGACUGCAAGAAAUCAAGGAGGUGUAAAAAGCCCACACACACUGAGGAGAGGGAGAACUUGAAUAGAAGUCAGCCAGACAUUCUAUCCCCCAGGAAAUGCAGGGCACCCUCACCACCAGCUGGGAAAUGGCCAUGAAAACCUGCUCAGCUGUUCCCACAGGGACAGAAAGAGCUUCCUGAUGGCAGAAGUUCAGGGAAGGAUGGUGCAAGAAUGAAGAAAGGGAACUUUCUUCAUUCAUCAUCAAGAGAGGAGAACUAAAGAGUGGCAACAUUGCAACAGUUUCCUCACUCCUUGCCAAUCAUUUCAAGUGUAUAUGGCUUCUGUAUGGAUCUGUUCAGUACUGGUCACUAAGCUUCCCAGCAUAACCUGCCAGUGACCAUUAAAGGCUGCAGAUAUCUCAGAAGAAUGUUGACCAUUAAACCUGACAUUUAUGAUUCAAUUAAUAAAACCAUCAAACCAAA
Taeniopygia guttata (zebra finch) is the source of this 1192-nucleotide non-coding RNA. NCBI's taxonomy places the organism in Eukaryota, Metazoa, Chordata, Aves, Passeriformes, Estrildidae. The record is from RefSeq and is a predicted model, not a curated record.